CUCUGUAAAGGAGAGCUGGUUACAGGGGCCAGUGGCAGCAUUCCCUGCUAGCAGAGGGCAUCAUUGUCUUAGGCACUAAGCAGGCACCCAGUCUACUGCCUUACAUUUUCAUGCAGAGCACCAGGAACUUGGAGAAGAAGAUGAUGUCUGAGAACUGGAGCCUUGCUGAGUAACUAAUGACAGCCUAAAUACAUAUUACAGUUGUGGUCAUUCUCAAAAUUAGUAUCAAAUUUUGUGAAAUAAAGUGCCACAGACUCUUUAUUGGGUAGAAUGUUACCUUCUCUGCAUCCCAGCCUGGCCCUCUUGGAAGAGGACAAUGAUAGGGGAUGCAUCCAUCAACUGUAAGCUCAUAAACAAUCCUCACUUCUGAAUGUUUAUUGUAGGGGUGAUGGUGGUAGGGGACUGCUUCACUUAAUGGAGUUUCUGGAGUUAAAUUUUUAUUCCUAAAUGAGAAAACUGAGGCAGGCACAGGGGGCUGAAUUGACUGGCACAAGUAUUUCUUUUACACACAGAAAAGCAGGUCUCCAACAUUCAGUUCAGAAUGUUUCCAAGAAGAACUACUUUCUUUGUAUCAGAUUUUGAACCUUCAGCAUGGAAUAAUCUUUGAUCUCAGUUCCCAGUGAGGGUGAAAUUUUACAUAAUCUCUGAGAUUAACGGUAGGAAGUCACAGGAGCAGCAGACUUACUACAGAAAUUCUCUGCUUGCCAGACAGUAAACUACCAAAUGUCUUACUGACUGCUUUGGAGACCAGGUGGUGGUGACAAGGUAGUUGUACCCAGUCUGCUGUGGCAUCAUAUUUUGGGUCUUGAACAGUUUAGAAAGGCACAGGUAAAUUAUGGAGUAAGGAAAGGCCUCCACCUCUGCUCACAUGGCAUUAAUACUAUUCUCAAAAUAAUAUAUUUAUGGGAUUUUGGCCUCCCUUCACUGCUAAAUUCAGCUCUUGAGUCAAAAACUGAAUGUAAGUAUUUUUUGCCACCAUAACUGAAUUAAUAUCUUUACGGCUUAUGGGGAAGUUUUUUGCCAAUUCAGGAAUUAGUCUUCUAACUUUAUGUUUAGCAGUUAAUCCAUUUUUCAGCAUGGGUAUCCAGCAAAGAGCUGUCAAAUUAACCCUGUAUCUUAACUGCUGUUCAAGACCAAAACCAGAAGGAGCCACAGUUAACAGUAAAGAACAGAACAACCUAAUGCUGAGGGAAAACAAGAAGUCUGUAGCGCAAGUGGUUCUGUCCUUCAUGUUUAUUGGGAGAUAAGUUCAGCAGCAUUUCUGGUUUCCAGCUCAUACUGUGGGAGGGUGGAGCUCAGCAGUCGCUAGAAACAGGCAAUUUCAGAUGACAGAACGCUGUCUGUAAAGUUGUAAAAGGUACCCAUGAAAGUCUACAGUACAAAGUCCUAUUUUGGAUAGCUAACAGAAGAUACUUUGGUUUUAUCAUUGCUGAUCUUCAGUUUUGUCUGAUUUUUUUUGCAUGUUUCCAAUAGUCUUUCCUCAGGUAACACUGCCCUGGAGAACCUGGUCAGGUCCUGAGUGCUCAGCCUUGAGAGGCGGCAAGAGAAGGAAAGAAACAGUGAGAAGAAAAUCUAGAAAAUCUGAUUUUCUUACAGGGAUACAGGAGCAAACGGAUUAACAUACUGUGGAUCAGGUCUGGUGGCAGCAAUGGGAAUGAGGACAGCCAAUUUCCUAUUGUCUCAUCUUCCCCCUGCCCAUUGUUAUGGGGCAUCACAAAGCCCUCAGAUAUUUGUAUGUAUUAGGCUCCUUGAAAGAGCAGGGUAUGUCGAGCAGUCACGUCCCAUGCUCUUGGGAUGCUAUAUCCUCCUCCUGUGUGAAAACAAGAAGCUGCCUGAAGUUACACAGCAACGUUGUCUGACCUUUCAUAGCAGGAAAGGUUUCAGGUGCCAGAAAGUAACAAGGCAUGAGAACUUUUUCACUCAUAAUUAUAAGCCAUCAGUCUGGCUGAGACCGCUAGAGUCACAAGCUUAAAAUUUGCCUUAAGUACGUCCUUCUUCAGUGAAAAGCGGUAUUCCAAACACUACAUACUGGAGGAAGGGAUUAUUCCCUUAUGCUCUAUACUUCUAGUUAAAAGCUCUCUGCAAAACUCAGGGAGGGCUGGAGUGUGCUGUCUGUGAGUAAGCAAACCUUCCUGAGACACAAGACAAGGGUUGAAGACAUGCUGCAGCAACUCAGUGCUGACUGGAACUGAGUUGCUCAGGCCUGGACAUCUCAGAGACAACUGUCUUAGCCUGUGCUGGGGCCAAACCAGUGGCCUGCUGACAGGUCCUAAACUUGGACACACUGUGGCAGGUGUGCUGGCACAAAUCAGGACAUUCCACAUUUCAAACACAAAGAGGUGCCAAGGUACAUUGGCCACAGGAUCAAGCACAGUGUUUUAAUACAACAGAGCAAUGCAUCUGAACUUCAAAUGCACAGCAAGAGGUCUGCACAGGAGACUCAGUUAUUGAGGAUUACGAGUCCAGUUCAUGGUGUGGUAUCAGAUGACAUCUGUCCUUGGCCAUCAGCUCUGACCACUGACUGGACAGGGGGAAGAGACAACAAUUCAUACCAGCAGAGAACCCCAACACAACCUUCAGCACAGCGGAAUGUAGAGGUAAAUGGUAAUAUUCUAACCUGACUGGGAAUUGUCUCCUGUGUACUUAUCCUCACGGUGACUCUUGUAGAGCUGGAGAUAAGAGUAAAAUACAUAUGUAAGAAAAAAGAAUACAAAAAAACUUUAAACAGGCUGCAUUCAACACUGUCCAUAUCCAGCAUUUUCCACUCAGCUAUUUAUAAAAAAAAUGUUUGGCAAAGACUCUUCUUCAGGUGUAAUUAGAUGUAGAGAAAUAAUAUGAAAGCGAACAGAUAUUCCAUGCAGAAAACCACAGAUACAAGUGCUUUUAUGUACUGAAUUCCUGUUUAAUGCCUGUGUUUACAAGAGAACUCAUUUAGGUAGUGUUUUAAGUGCAAAUUGCAUAUGAACCUGAAAGAAUAAAAUAAAAAAAUCCUAUAAAAUUAUUUUUUGUGCUUUAAAAAUAAUUUUCUUAGAACUGUUAAAGCUAAUUUUGAAUGCAUCUUUUUAUGGAUAACUGAUAAACUGGACUUCAAAAAACUCAGUUAUAAAAACUACUCUCCAGGAAAUAAGGGGUAGAGGUAUGUGUUGUUCAUCAGACCUUUAUUUUCAAGUAGUUUUUAAUCAUUCUCAUGAAUGAAAAAUUAAACAUGAAAUCUUAAUUCUUUGUUCUUCUGAAACAUUUUUAGGUAGCUCCAACAGUAGGUAUUUCAAGCUUUCUUAGAAUUUAGAUAGGAUAUUUCCAUAUAUUAAAAUGUACAGCUAUUGCUUGGUCUGCAAUAACACAGAUUAAAUGUUCCUCUGCUUUUUCAUUCUUCUCAAAGAAGAAGAAAUUCUCAUUUUUCAUUCUUCUUUUCAUCCUUCUGUCCAGUUCAUGACAGUUUAAUACCUGCUAAUCACCUCACCCCUUUCCUUUGUUAUGUGUUUAGAAGAAAGUGUUUUGCUGUUGAUAGGAAAACUGACCAGAAAUGGCAUUUCCUCAAGUUAUUUCUUGAAAAUUGGUGUGUGAUGUUUUUAAGUAUAGAUAACGGAGUCAUGGAGAAAGACUAGAAAUAAUGCUUACCAGGAAUAAUGCUUACUUUUUUUUUGUAGUCACUAGAGAAGAUACACAUACCCUCUUACUUCACAUGUAUAAUUGUCAGUGCUUGACACUGUAGUUACAAAUUAUUCAGUACAUGUAAUAUUUAGGAGUCCAUUACUGUCAUAUGGUGAUUGGUUCCUCUGACCAAAUCCAUCACCUGCCUGUAGCAAAGCACUAGAUUGCAUGGAAGCAUGAAAUCCAUGGCUGCCACCUGUCAAUUAAAAGGAGAGUAUGACAAGGUUGCACUUGUGUGCUCUUACUGUCUGUAUCAGUUUGUGACUGUGCAUGCUGCAGGGUCCUCAUGGGGAUUAUUCAGGAAUGAAAGGAAAGGAAUUAUACUAAUUCCCUUUUCUGUCACUCUGUCAUUCUUGCACACCUUUCGUUUUUUCCUUCCUACUAUGGCAGGGAGAGACAUAGGGUGAAAGGAGAAGAGAAGAAAAUGGAAAGGAAUAAAAACCCACAAAAUUCAGGCAUGGCUUUUUGUAAUGAAUUAAAAACAAACAAAAAAAACCCAAAAAACAAACAAACAAAAAAAAACAACAAAAAAAAACAAGAAAGGGAAACCCUUUGCUCAUGCUCCAUAUAAAUCUUGUUCAGGAGAGUGUAAGAACUGACUCUUCAUCCAAAAAAAUUUUUAAAGCUUGAACACUUCUAUUGUAACCAUGUAGAAACUCUCGGAGAAAUAAUCUCAUCCAAACAGAGUAAGGUUAAGGAAAUCUCAUCAGAUAUGGUACACUGACACAAGGCACCUGAACUGCUUGUUCUGCCCUCAUCCUGGAGCUUCUCUCAAAGCCAAUGGAUAUAUCUCUGUCUACUGCACAACUGGCAGAAACAUAGGCACAGUCCUCCAAGUGCUUUACUAAAAAAAUAAACCACAUUUCUGUUCUGAAUACUUCUCUUCCCCUUCUGCAGGCAUGUCCUGAAAGAGCCAUGUAAGGUAAGUUAUGAGGGCAGUUACACAGUUAAUCUUGGGUCAAUAUGUUCUUUAAAGAAACAACACCUCUCUUGUAAAUUUAUGAAUGUGAAAACACUAGACUCUACCCUGCCAGGUCUCAAAUUGACAAUGGCAGCAUUAAUAAUUACCUAGGCUCAGCACAUGGGAAUAAUCACAUGAAAGUCACUCCCCAUUCAUAAAUCUUCACUGUAAGAAUGCUUAAUGCUCUUUUAGAUAUUUUUUUUUCCAUGCAUAAAUUUAACAUGCUAGGUCUUUCUAUGUGAUAAAUCUGGCACGGAAAUACAAGAAGGUUCCAGUAGUCUCUGAUAUCCCUUACAAAGGAUGUUGGUACUGUCAAAAAAUACAUGUUUUUUGAGGUGAAGCAGUGUGUAAUGAUGUAAAAAUGUUUUGAAGUCAAUAUAUACUGUCUGAAUGCUGAGAUCAAGCUGUUUAGAAUUAUAUUGAUUAAAUGAAACAUCAGACAUUUGACAUCAAAAUUUGAAUUAUGACAGCUUUUACUGGUCUGUAACUUAAGUAAAUAUUUAAUUUGAUUUCCUUUUCUCCUUCCAUAAAGAUUUAUCUGUAGCUUGAAAAGGAACCUAUUUUUUUUAGUCUAAGGAAAAGUUCUACUGCUGCAAGUAUUAAUGUAUGGAUAUUAGGAAAACUGCAAUGUCCAGGAUCUCCAACAGGCAUGAGCUAUUUCUGUGACAGAAGUGAAACAGAUCAAUUACAUAGUUCUAUCAAAUACACCUUGUUUUUUCCCCAAGGGACCUAAAAUCUCCAUAGACCAUACUUUCUGUUAGGCUGCAGUCUUUAACCGUUGUGGCAGACUUCUGUAUCUAUCUGUAUCUGUAUCUGUGGAGAACCUUUGGAAAGCCAUGUUCCCUGGGAUCACCAAAUGUGUAAAUCUUCCCAGGUCUACAGUGCUUAAUUUACCAGUAGCUUCUUAUGAACUAGUAUUAAGAAGACAAGAAUGGGUUAUACUUUCCAGCAGUACAGGAGAAUAUGAAUGUUGCCUUGGAAACAAGUCCUUGUUUCUUAAUUUCCCUUUUUCUCUCUAGCAAGGAGAGGUUUAUGGGGCACGUGAAGUUCCAGGGCAGCACGGCAGCCUGGGCUGCAGCACCCAUGAAAUAGAGGAGUGAGUACAAGAUCCUCGGGGCAUUGAGGAGGUCACAGUAAACUCAAUACCACUGACCUCAGGAGAGCAGACGGGCCCAAGAAACUUGGUUAGUAUUCAAGAUCACCUCUUCCAAGCUCAGGAAUGAUGCUUCACAACAAAGAGAAGUCAUAAAAAUGCCAGAAGGCCUGUGUGGCAGAAAUGCCAGGAGGCCUGUGUGGAUGAACAAAGAACUUAGUGACAGACGCAAACAAAAGAAAGAAGACUACAGAGAGUGGAAAAAAUGACUGGUUGCCUGGGAAUAAUACAGAGAAUGUCUGAAGAGCAGGAAUCAUGUUAGGAAAGCUAAAGCCUGAUAGAAUUAAAUCUGGCUAGGGACAUUAAGGACAACAAGAAAAGCUUCUGUAGGUACCUUGGUGAAUUAAAGAAAGAUUAGGGAAAACGUGGUCCCUCUCUGGAAGGAAACAGAAGAUGUGGUUACCUGGGACACAUAGAGGGCUGAAGUACUCUCUGACUCUUUUGCCUUGGUCUUCACUGGCAAGUGUUCCAACUACAUGCACUUCCCUAGUCACAGGAGGUAAAGGCAGGGACUGGGAAAAUGAAAACCACCCACUGUAGGAGAAGAUCAGGUUUGGGAACAUCCAAGGAACUUGAAGGUGCACAAGAUUACAGGACGUGAUCAGCAUUUGUGAGUCCUUAGGGAGUGGUGGAGGAAGUGGCUAAACUGCUAUCUAUCAGAUUUGAGUAGUCAUAGCAGUCCAGUGAAGUUUCCAGUGACUGGAAAUGGGGAAACUUAUUUAACUGUAAUUUCUAAAGAUUAGAAAAGAAAAAGGCAAACCCAGGGAAUGGCAGGCCAGUCUCAUCUCUGUGCCCUGCAAUCCAUGGAGCAGAUUCUCCUGCAAACUAUGCUAAGGCAUAUGGAAAAUAAGAAGAUAAUUGCUAACAACAAGGAGCUUUACUAAGGGCAAAUCAUGCCUGACAUAUUUGAGAAUGCCAUCUAACUGGACCUCUGCAAGGCAUUUGAUGCUUCCAUGCACACCCCUGACUCUACAGUGGAGAGACCUGGAUUUGGCAAGUGGAUCACUCGGUGGAUACGGAAUUGCCUGAAUGCUCCUGCUCAAAGAGUUGUGGCCAAUGGUCAGGAGUCUGGGUGGAGAGGAGUGACGAGUGCUGCUCCUUGGGGGUCUGCACGAGGGCCAGGAUUAUGUAACAUCUUUGUCAGGGACACAGACAGUGGGACCAGGGGCAUCAUCAGCAGUUGGCUGAUGACACCAAGCUUUGUGGUGUCACAACUGCUGAGAGGCCACAGCACGCUGGAGGGGCCUCCAGCAUAACACACGAACCUGCUGGAGCAGAUCCAGAGAAGGGCCACAGAACUGACCAGAGAGCUGUAGCACCUUUCUUAUUGUAAAAAGGAUGAGAGAGUUGGGGUUGUUCAGUUUGCAGAAGAGAAGACUGGGAAAUCUUUUAGCACCUUCCAAUUACUAAAGGGGCCUACAAGAAAAUAAAACACAAUUUUACAAGGGUGUAUAUAGUGAUAGGACAAGAGGCAAGGGUUUCAAACUGAAAGAGAGUAGGUUUCAACUAGCUAUCAGGAAGAAAUUCUUUACUGUGAGGGUGGUGAGACACUGGAACAGGUUCCCCAGAAGAGUUGUGGAUGCCUGGUCCCUGGAAAUUCAAGGCCAGGUUGGGUGGGGCUUUGAACAGCCUGGUCUAGUGGAUCCUGCCUGUGACAAGGGGGCUGGAACUAGGUGAUCUUUAAGGUGCCUUUCCAGUCAAAUCAAUCUGUGAUUGUAUGAUUCUUACUGGUUUAAGCAGUCCAAUCUACAGGGCAAAGAAGGACAAAAAAAUUUACUUUUUUCUUAUAUUUCUACUGCUAUUUUUUACAUAUGAUACAAGUUUGCAAUAUUUAUUAUCUUGCAUUAAGAAUAUCAUAUAUAUACACCUCCUUGUACCAGUCUUUCAGCUGUGUGUAUAAUAUAGAAAAAGCCAUUAAAUUAUGUCUUACUUUCAAAUCAACAUCAAAGCAUCUAUAAAUGAAACAACAGUUAUGAAGUUUAAACAAUGAAUUAAAAAUACAUGAAACUUUAUCACUGCUUUUAUAGAACUCUGUUACACUCUAGCCUGAGCAUUUUAAAACAUCCUGCAACUGUAAAUGGUAUUUUGCUGCUAAUACUAAAAUACAUGUUUAAGUUCAAAGAUGAA
Non-coding RNA from Taeniopygia guttata (zebra finch), 7892 nucleotides. The record is from RefSeq and is a predicted model, not a curated record. Lineage: Eukaryota; Metazoa; Chordata; Aves; Passeriformes; Estrildidae.